RNAcentral lists this ribosomal RNA (519 nucleotides) under uncultured eukaryote. RNAcentral's name for it is "bacterial SSU rRNA". It matches the Rfam family "Eukaryotic small subunit ribosomal RNA", at positions 1161 to 1708 of the family's 1831-position model. The record is from RNAcentral.
AGGGCACCACCAGGAGUGGAGCCUGCGGCUUAAUUUGACUCAACACGGGGAAACUUACCCGGCCUGGACACUGGAAGGAUUGACAGAUUGAGAGCUCUUUCUUGAUUCAGUGGGUGGUGGUGCAUGGCCGUUCUUAGUUGGUGGAGCGAUUUGUCUGGUUAAGUCCGAUAACAAACGAAACUCUAGCCUAUUAACUAGGCUCUCGGCUUUUCAACGCCGGGAGGACUUCUUACAGGGACAGGUGGAGGUUCAUCCUCACCGAAAGAGCAAUACCAUGUCUGUGAUGUGAUGCGCUUACAUGUUCCGGGCUGCACGCACACUACACAGAAGGAAUCACCUUGUGUUCCGGCCCCGAUAGGGUUGGGAAACCCACUGAACCUCCUUCGUGAAGGGGGAUGGGGAUUGCAUUUAUCCCCAUGAACGAAGGAUUCCCCGUAACGCGAUCAUAACUUGCUCUAUUACUCCCUGCCCUUUGUACACACCGCCCGUCCUACUACCGAUCGAGUGAUUAGUGAGGCC